Molecule: ribosomal RNA, 805 nt
Filed under: uncultured archaeon
Lineage: Archaea
Description: bacterial SSU rRNA
Rfam family: Archaeal small subunit ribosomal RNA
Source: RNAcentral
GGAAUUCGAUUACCGCUCAGUAACACGUGGCUAACCUGCCCUUGGGACGAGAACAACCCCGGGAAACUGGGGCUAACUCUCGAUAGGCGAAGAACUCUGGAAUGAGUCUUCACCCAAACAGUUUAAGGUUAUGCUCUUUAAACUGCCCAAGGAUGGGGCCGCGACCGAUCAGGUUGUUGGUGAGGUAAUGGCUCACCAAGCCUUUUACCGGUGCGGGCCGUGGGAGCGGGAGCCCGGAGAUGGGCACUGAGACAAGGGCCCAGGCCCUACGGGGCGCAGCAGUCGCGAAAACUUUGCAAUAAGCGAAAGCUUGACAGGGCUAUCCCGAGUGCCAUCCGCUGAGGAAGGCUUUUACCCAGUCUAGAACGCUGGGGGAAUAAGGAGAGGGCAAGUCUGGUGUCAGCCGCCGCGGUAAUACCAGCUCUCCGAGUGGUGUGGAUGUUUAUUGGGCCUAAAGCAUCCGUAGCUGGCUAGGUUAGUCCCCUGUUAAAUCCACCGAAUUAAUCGUUGGAUUGCGGGGGAUACUGCUUGGCUAGGGGACGAGAGAGGCAGACGGUAUUUCCGGGGUAGGGGUGAAAUCCUAUAAUCCCGGGAAGACCACCAGUGGCGAAGGCUGUCUGCUAGAACGCGCCCGACGGUGAGGGAUGAAAGCUGGGGGAGCGAACCGGAUUAGAUACCCGGGUAGUCCCAGCUGUAAACGAUGCAGACUAGGUGUUUGAACGGCCACGUGCCGUUCUAGUGCCGCAGGGAAGCUGUUAAGUCUGCCGCCUGGGGAGUACGAUCGCAAGAUUGAAACUUAAAGGAA